GUAGGUGGCAAGCGUUGUCCGGAAUUAUUGGGCGUAAAGCGCGCGCAGGCGGUUCUUUAAGUCUGAUGUGAAAGCCCACGGCUCAACCGUGGAGGGUCAUUGGAAACUGGAGAACUUGAGUACAGAAGAGGAAAGCGGAAUUCCACGUGUAGCGGUGAAAUGCGUAGAGAUGUGGAGGAACACCAGUGGCGAAGGCGGCUUUCUGGUCUGUAACUGACGCUGAGGCGCGAAAGCGUGGGGAGCAAACAGGAUUAGAUACCCUGGUAGUCCACGCCGUAAACGAUGUGUGCUAAGUGUUAGGGGGUUUCCGCCCCCCUUAGUGCUGCAGCUAACGCAUUAAGCACUCCGCCUGGGAGUACGGCCGCAAGGCUG
Molecule: ribosomal RNA, 372 nt
Filed under: uncultured organism
Description: partial 16S ribosomal RNA
Rfam family: Bacterial small subunit ribosomal RNA
Source: RNAcentral